AUACUUACCUGGCAGGGGAGGUACCAUGAUCAAGAAGGUGGUCCUCCCAGGGAGAGGCUUAGCCAUUGCACCGUACUUGUGUUGACCUCUGCAAUUUCCCCAAAUGUGGGAAACUUGACGGCAUAAUUUCUGGUGGUGGGGGACUGAGUUCAUGCUCUUUUUUUUU
Molecule: small nuclear RNA, 166 nt
Organism: Cervus hanglu yarkandensis (Yarkand deer)
Lineage: Eukaryota; Metazoa; Chordata; Mammalia; Artiodactyla; Cervidae
Gene: U1
Rfam family: U1 spliceosomal RNA
About the family: U1 is a small nuclear RNA (snRNA) component of the spliceosome (involved in pre-mRNA splicing). Its 5' end forms complementary base pairs with the 5' splice junction, thus defining the 5' donor site of an intron.
Source: Ensembl